UCCAAGUGAAGUAGAGGACAGUGGCGGACGGGUGAGUAACGCGUGAGGAACCUGCCUUUCAGAGGGGGACAACAGUUGGAAACGACUGCUAAUACCGCAUGGCACAUAGAUGUCGCAUGGCAUUUAUGUCAAAGAUUUAUCGCUUCAAGAUGGCCUCGCGUCUGAUUAGCUGGUUGGCGGGGUAACGGCCCACCAAGGCGACGAUCAGUAGCCGGACUGAGAGGGUGAUCGGCCACAUUGGAACUGAGACACGGUCCAAACUCC
Molecule: ribosomal RNA, 264 nt
Filed under: uncultured Eubacteriales bacterium
Lineage: Bacteria; Bacillati; Bacillota; Clostridia; Eubacteriales
Description: uncultured Clostridiales bacterium partial 16S ribosomal RNA
Rfam family: Bacterial small subunit ribosomal RNA
Source: RNAcentral